UUUUUUGAAAUAGGGGGUUGGGGGAGUCGAACCUUAACCUCUCAGGUCUAUCAGGAUGCACUUUCCACCAGGCUAAGCUUCGGAGUGCUCAUGAUCAACAAUGUUAUUAUAUCAAGAUUCCAUUCUUGCUUUCUUCACAUUUAAUGAAUGAAACGAAUCAUAGGGCAACUGUGCAGUGAGAUAAACUACAAAAUUAUUCCUUCUUACAAUAAUGUUUUGAAGCUGCAAACUGCCCAGAGAAGGAGAUCAGAUCCCUCUUCCAUAUUAAUAUUACAACUUGUUUCAAUUAUCCUUAAUAGUUCUUUGAUUCUGGGAAAAGAAAAGAAAACAUAACUAUUGUAUGUGUCGGGUUAUGCUAUAGUCAUUGAUUACAGUGGCUGGAUUAACGAGCUUAUGUCUCUUUCUCAUAUUAUUCCAUCAGGCUUAUGAGUCAAGCUUUGGCUCUCACAGUAUUCUUCUUCUUCUAUUGAGACAAAUAUCGGCAAGGGGCUCCACCACUCACUCUGCCCCAGUCAAUCAAUUCAAUUUAGAUGGUCUUUUUUAUGUGUUGCAAUUGGGACACAAACUCAGCUAUCCUC
This 578-nucleotide long non-coding RNA is filed under the name Manihot esculenta (cassava). RNAcentral's name for it is "long non-coding RNA (MESC_LNC005237)". Lineage: Eukaryota; Viridiplantae; Streptophyta; Magnoliopsida; Malpighiales; Euphorbiaceae. The record is from RNAcentral.